GAAAAGGUUGCCACUUACCUGCCUCCGUGCAGAAGAUAAACCAUACAAUGGUGAGGAGAACACAGCCUUUCAUUGUUGCAGUUGCUCCCUGCUAAUCCUACAAGGAAAUGUUUUCUCCCCUUCAGCUAUCAAAGUAUUGGUUUUGUUUCCUUGUACUACUUGGACCUUGAACUCAAGGCGAACUGCCGCGGAAGAAUUAGGUGCUCCAUUUAUUUGCAAUAUUAUAUUGACACUAUUGUCAUAGACCAACCUUUGCUCACUUGAAAGCCUUCCAAGCGUGCUGGCUGGGACUGACGGAAGCUGUUGUCCAACUAUCUGGAGAGCACCAGGUUGACAAAGGUUUGAGUUUGCAACCAAAAGAUGGGUCAGGAUAUUCAGGACAAACUGCUGCAGAGAAGUGACUAGUGAGGAUGGGCUGGGAGAGAGAAGGUUAUGUACAAAGAUGACUUUAACACCCUCUCCUACCUGCUGAUUUUGCACUAGAAAUUGCAUCCUCCAUUUUGCUUCAGGUAGAGCAUUCUUCAUUGACACACCUGGACUUUGAAACUUCCUACCAAGAGAGGUUGGUCUUGCUUCCUGCAUUUUGUCCUUCCACUUCAAGGCCAGAAACUUACUAAAGGUUAAGAUCUUUAGAGGCUGGAAUACUAGUUUUAAAUUUAUUGCCUACUGUAACUAUACACAACCCUUUGUGUGUUUGCUCUUAUUUGCUCUUUUCACAUUGUCUUUUUAUUAUGCUUUACCUAUUAUUUAAAAUAUUCCUAAACUGCCCCUCACCCAGUCAAAUUCUGAGGCAGAGAGAAAAAUGGGCAAGAAUAAAAUGAUCCAUAGCUAAUGCAAACAAUAAAACACCCCAAUUCCUAACAGCAAAAUAAGAGGCAGUCACUUGACUUAUAUAGCACACUGAGGUAUGUUUUAUUAUGCUUCUUACUGUUUUGUGGUGGUUUGCUUCAUAUAGUGUUGUAUUUUACUGUUUUGCAAGCAGGUUUGAACUUCAUAGAGAAAGGAGAGGUUUAAAUCUUCUUUCAAUAAAUAAUUCCUAUUGAAGAGCCAUGGUUGCAAUAGUCCUGUCAACAAAAAAUGAUUAUAUAACAAAAAUAUAAAUUUAAAUAAAUCAGAUAUGUGCCUUAAGAUAGUUGCAUCUCAUGUGAUCAAUUAAUUUUAAUAAAACUUUGAUACAACUUGAUCACGGGCAGGCUAUCUUCCCCGAAGAAUCCAGCAGAAAACAGGUGCACCUAAAUCCCACUGUAAUAAGUGCAUUUUUUUCUACUGGAUUUAAUAAGACAGGAAUGUAAGCCUGUCUAAUUAUGCUUUAUGUCGUUGUCCUAGGCUAUAAGAAGCUAGUAAACCACUGUGUGCAGCCUCAGCUCAGAAUGAACUGGAAGACCAGUUCUGAUCAUAGGCUCAGGCUCCUGGGGGCGAGGCACUUUGGGCCCCCUCAAUACAGUGGUACCUCUACUUACGAAUUUAAUGCGUUCUGAACGCACAUUCAUAAGUUGAAAAAAAUUGUAAGUCGAAUCCCAUAGGAAUGCAUUGGGAGAAAAAUUCGUAAGUCGAAGCAACUCUAUCUAAAAAUUCAUAAGUAGAAAAAAUCCUAUCUAAACCGCAUCCAAGAUGGCGGACGGAGCUCCGUUCGUAAGUAGAGUUAUUCGUAAGUAGAGGUACUACUGUAUAUAUAUUUUUGGAGGGACUGCCCCCCCCUUUUACUGUAAAGUUUUAGAAUCUUCUGAUUAUGAAAAAAGCACCUGUUCUCGUUUUCUGAAUGUAUAAUAUACUUUUCAAAUAUGGAUCUUACAGCUAGAUUUGCCAACUUUUAUAACCACAAUGCACCUGCUUAUUGAAAUACGAUCUCCUCCCCUGCCUUUUCAUGAGCCCUGGUGCAUAGCUGCCAAGUUUUCCCUUUUCUCACGAGGAAGCCUAUUCAGCAUAAGGGAAAAUCCCUUUAAAAAAGGGAUAACUUGGCAGCUAUGCCCUGGUGUGUGUGUGUGUGUGUGUGUGUGUGUGUGUGUGUGUGUGUGUAAAAACCCGCUAUAGCCAUUACCUAUCAAAUUUUUCAGUGGUGACGUUUGAGAAGUGUAUUAUUUACAUAGCUGCCAAGUUAUCCCCUUUUUAAAGGGAUUUUCCCUUAUGCUGAAUAGGCUUCCUCGCAAGAAAAGGGAAAACUUGGCAGCUAUGAUUAUUUAACUUUUCUCCAUAUGCAAACUGAGAUGUGGGUGCUGUCUUGUUUGCAUGUACCAAUAAAAGCUCAGGUUCAGAAUAUUAUUAAUACUUUUAUUGUAUCAUUUUUAUUACACUGACUAGAACGCCAGAAGUCAAAUAUUUGGAUGCUGGUAUAAAAAUAAUCCAAACUUUAUACUUCAUACUUUGGAACUACAGUACUGUAUAAUUAGUGAAGGCUGAAAAUAAGAUACACCUUUAAAUAACACUCUGUUGGAAACAUAAAAUAAACAAAACAUCUCAGAAGUUAUGUUCACAGGUAUGCAAAGCUGAAAUCCAGAACAAAGUACAAUAGACAAUUGCAAGUCAAACUGGCGGUACAUUCAGAGUCAUUAUGAAGACACACAAACAAGGCUUUAUCCAUCUCGUCUGAACGACAUGGUAGACAUCACAUACAUUUUUGACUGGUAAAGUUGAGAGUGACUUCCUAUUUUGCAGUCCUGCCAAAUUUAGUUGUUGUUUUAAUGGAAGAAAGCAAAAA
Molecule: non-coding RNA, 2695 nt
Organism: Zootoca vivipara (common lizard)
Lineage: Eukaryota; Metazoa; Chordata; Lepidosauria; Squamata; Lacertidae
Source: RefSeq, a predicted model, not a curated record